AAAUCAGCUAGUGCGGCAAUAUAAACUAAACAGUUUGAAAUAGUAGGAUAAUAUUGCCCAGAAAAUGCAUUUGUAGCAACUUGAAAAUGUUCUAAAAAAUCUAAAAGAAUUUUAACAUUCGUCCAAUCUUGGUUAGUAAGCAUUUCAUCAUUAUCCUCACCACCUACCCGAGAAUUAAACGUUGCAUUAAUACAAUCCAUCUAGUUGGGCAAGGUUUAGGAACCUUUCUUUCUCUAAGGCCAUAUUCAUCACGUUUUUUAAAAUACUCUCUAAGUCUAGUUCUACGGUUUGAAUAAAAAGGCCAAUUAAGAGC
RNAcentral lists this long non-coding RNA (313 nucleotides) under Nicotiana benthamiana. Its description in RNAcentral is "long non-coding RNA (NBEN_LNC015733)". Lineage: Eukaryota; Viridiplantae; Streptophyta; Magnoliopsida; Solanales; Solanaceae. The record is from RNAcentral.